This 449-nucleotide unclassified non-coding RNA is filed under the name soil metagenome. RNAcentral describes it as "partial contains 5.8S ribosomal RNA, internal transcribed spacer 2, and large subunit ribosomal RNA". The stretch from base 1 to 121 matches the Rfam family "5.8S ribosomal RNA", at positions 35 to 154 of the family's 154-position model. The record is from RNAcentral.
GAUGAAGAACGCAGCGAAUUGCGAUAUGUAAUGUGAAUUGCAGAUUUUCAGUGAAUCAUCGAAUCUUUGAACGCACCUUGCGCUCCUUGGUAUUCCGAGGAGCAUGCCUGUUCGAGUGUCAUUGAAUUCUCAACCCUUCUUCGAUUAAUUUCGAGGGAUGGCUUGGAUUUUGGGGGCUGCUGGCGACCCACUGGGGUAUGUCGGCUCUCCUUAAAAGCAUUAGCGAAGGGUGGCAAAAGCCAUGCAUGAACGGCCUCGGACGUGAUAAUGAUCGUCGUGGCUGGAGUGCGAGGCGUAGAUCCGUCUUUGCUUCUAAUCGUUCGUAAUCAGGGGGGGGGUCGAGUAGUCUGCUCCGGCGGACGGAAAACCCCCGUCCGGUUACUUCUGAAACUUGACCUCGAAUCAGGUAGGACUACCCGCUGAACUUAAGCAUAUCAAUAAGCGGAGGA